This is a long non-coding RNA of Oreochromis aureus, 491 nucleotides long. RefSeq lists it as uncharacterized. Lineage: Eukaryota; Metazoa; Chordata; Actinopteri; Cichliformes; Cichlidae. The record is from RefSeq and is a predicted model, not a curated record. The transcript is spliced from 3 exons.
GAGAGACGAGACGACGAGGCUCCAGUUCAUUCAGCGCAAAGACAGCAAUAAAUAUACACUUUAAGACUAAGCUUUACAAAUCAAACCAGUUCAAGUUUCAGCAACCUCAUUCCUGCAAUUUGUUGACACAUGUAAGUCCUGGUGAUGCUAUGAGUGUUUUUUAUAUUGAGGUGAUGGUAAUAUUCUCUCACUGACAAAUUCAAAAAUACUGGGGGCUGCCAGUGGUGCCCCUCAGCCUCCUAGUUGAUGCAUCAAUAAUAUGAUUUUUCUUUUUUUCAGAAAAGUUGACCUCUGACCUUGAUGUCAAGGUCAUCGGUUUUUAAACUUGUUUGAGAUUAUAAGUAGAUGCACCUAUAACAUCAACUUGAAAAAGCUACAUAGCCUCAUUCUCGAGUUGUCACAUUCACAGAGUGUCCACGCUGCCCACUGGUGAUGAAUAUCAGUCUUUUAUGGCUGAUGAUAAAAACAGUGGCAGCUACAGUAGUAGGAAA